AUUGAACGCUGGCGGCAUGCCUUACACAUGCAAGUCGAACGGUAACAGGUCUUCGGAUGCUGACGAGUGGCGAACGGGUGAGUAAUACAUCGGAACGUGCCUAGUAGUGGGGGAUAACUACUCGAAAGAGUGGCUAAUACCGCAUGAGAUCUACGGAUGAAAGCAGGGGAUCGCAAGACCUUGUGCUACUAGAUCGGCCGAUGUCAGAUUAGGUAGUUGGUGGGAUAAAAGCUUACCAAGCCGACGAUCUGUAGCUGGUCUGAGAGGACGAUCAGCGACACGGGGAAUGGGAAACGGCCCAGACUCCUGCGGGAGGCAGCAGUGGGGAAUGUUGGACAAUGGGCUGAAGCCUGAUCCAGCAAUGCCGCGUGCAGGAUGAAGGCCUUCAGGUUGUAAACUGCUUUUGUACGGAACGAAAAGCCCCGGGUUAAUACCCUGGGGUCAUGACGGUACCGUAAGAAUAAGCACCGGCUAACUACGUGCCAGCAGCCGCCGUAA
This 498-nucleotide ribosomal RNA is filed under the name uncultured bacterium. RNAcentral's name for it is "partial 16S ribosomal RNA". It matches the Rfam family "Bacterial small subunit ribosomal RNA", at positions 30 to 523 of the family's 1533-position model. The record is from RNAcentral.